AGAGUUUGAUCCUGGCUCAGAUUGAACGCUGGCGGCAUGCCUUACACAUGCAAGUCGAACGGCAGCACGGGGCAACCUGGUGGCGAGUGGCGAACGGGUGAGUAAUAUAUCGGAACAUACCCUAGAGUGGGGGAUAACGUAGCGAAAGUUACGCUAAUACCGCAUACGAACUAAGGUUGAAAGUGGGGGAUCUUCGGACCUCAUGCUCAUGGAGUGGCCGAUAUCUGAUUAGCUAGUUGGUGAGGUAAAGGCUCACCAAGGCGACGAUCAGUAGCUGGUUUGAGAGAACGACCAGCCACACUGGAACUGAGACACGGUCCAGACUCCUACGGGAGGCAGCAGUGGGGAAUUUUGGACAAUGGGCGCAAGCCUGAUCCAGCAAUGCCGCGUGAGUGAAGAAGGCCUUCGGGUUGUAAAGCUCUUUUGUCAGGGAAGAAACGGUGAGUCCUAAUACGGCUUGCUAAUGACGGUACCUGAAGAAUAAGCACCGGCUAACUACGUGCCAGCAGCCGCGGUAAUACGUAGGGUGCAAGCGUUAAUCGGAAUUACUGGGCGUAAAGCGUGCGCAGGCGGUUAUAUAAGUCAGAUGUGAAAUCCCCGGGCUCAACCUGGGAACUGCAUUUGAGACUGUAUGGCUAGAGUGUGUCAGAGGGGGGUAGAAUUCCACGUGUAGCAGUGAAAUGCGUAGAUAUGUGGAGGAAUACCGAUGGCGAAGGCAGCCCCCUGGGAUAACACUGACGCUCAUGCACGAAAGCGUGGGGAGCAAACAGGAUUAGAUACCCUGGUAGUCCACGCCCUAA
RNAcentral lists this ribosomal RNA (800 nucleotides) under uncultured bacterium. RNAcentral's name for it is "bacterial SSU rRNA". It matches the Rfam family "Bacterial small subunit ribosomal RNA", at positions 8 to 805 of the family's 1533-position model. The record is from RNAcentral.